Molecule: ribosomal RNA, 776 nt
Filed under: uncultured Neocallimastigales
Lineage: Eukaryota; Fungi; Neocallimastigomycota; Neocallimastigomycetes; Neocallimastigales
Description: partial large subunit ribosomal RNA
Rfam family: Eukaryotic large subunit ribosomal RNA
Source: RNAcentral
CGUCUAUAUACGUAUAGCAUAUCAAUAAGCGGAGGAAAAGAAACUAACAAGGAUUCCCUUAGUAACGGCGAGUGAAGCGGGAAGAGCUCAAAUUUGAAAUCUUCAAGGUUCUACCUUGACGAAUUGUAGUUUAAAGAAGUGUUUUCUGUUAGAGGAGUAGGCAAAAGUUCCUUGGAAUAGGACAUCAUAGAGGGUGAGAAUCCCGUAUUUGGUUAUUCUUUCUAGCUUUGUGAUACACCUUCAAAGAGUCGGAUUGUUUGGGAAUGCAGUCCAAAAUGGGUGGUAAAUUUCAUCUAAAGCUAAAUAUUGGCGAGAGACCGAUAGCGAACAAGUACCGUGAGGGAAAGAUGAAAAGAACUUUGAAAAGAGAGUUAAACAGUACGUGAAAUUGUCAAAAGGGAAGCGUUUGACACCAGUGUUGUUUUUCCGAAAAUCAAUUAAGAGUGGCUUGAUUUUGUGUUGUAUUGACCUUAUCAGCUUUCUUCACUCUUUUUCGAGUCUUUCUUAAUGCACUUUUCGGUUAACAAGUCAACAUCAAUUUCUUUUGUUGUAAAAGGGUAUUUGGAAGGUGGCUUUCUUUUCGGAGAAGGUGUUUAUAGCCUUAUACCUCUACAAUCGGAGAGAUUGAGGUCUGCAGCGUAGAUCCUUCGGGGCUAGAUACACUUGUGCUAAGUUAUAGCUUUUCAUAGACAACUUGUUGACUAUGUUUAGUCAUGUAGCUUACCCGCUUGUGCUAUUUUACCUACGCUUAGGAUGUUGAGUCAUCACACAUCUCU